AGAGUUUGAUCAUGGCUCAGGACGAACGCUGGCGGCGUGCCUAAUACAUGCAAGUCGAACGAACCGCGACUAGGUGCUUGCACUUGGUCAAGGUGAGUGGCGAACGGGUGAGUAACACGUGGGUAACCUACCUCAUAGUGGGGGAUAACAGUCGGAAACGACUGCUAAUACCGCAUAGGACAUAGGAUCACAUGAUCCAGUGAGGAGAGGUGGCGCAAGCUAUCGCUAAGAGAUGGACCCGCGGUGCAUUAGCUAGUUGGUAGGGUAAAGGCCUACCAAGGCGAUGAUGCAUAGCCGACCUGAGAGGGUGAUCGGCCACAUUGGGACUGAGACACGGCCCAAACUCCUACGGGAGGCAGCAGUAGGGAAUCUUCCGCAAUGGACGCAAGUCUGACGGAGCAACGCCGCGUGAGUGAAGAAGGUCUUCGGAUCGUAAAGCUCUGUUGUUAGAGAAGAACAGCGCAUAGAGUAACUGUUAUGCGUGUGACGGUAUCUAACCAGAAAGCCACGGCUAACUACGUGCCAGCAGCCGCGGUAAUACGUAGGUGGCGAGCGUUGUCCGGAUUUAUUGGGCGUGAAGGGAGUGUAGGCGGUCUUUUAAGUCUGAUGUGAAAGCCCACGGCUCAACCGUGGAGGGUCAUUGGAAACUGGGAGACUUGAGUGCAGAAGAGGAGAGCGGAAUUCCAUGUGUAGCGGUGAAAUGCGUAGAUAUAUGGAGGAACACCAGUGGCGAAGGCGGCUCUCUGGUCUGUAACUGACGCUGAGGCUCGAAAGCGUGGGGAGCAAACAGGAUUAGAUACCCCGGUAGUCCAA
RNAcentral lists this ribosomal RNA (813 nucleotides) under uncultured bacterium. RNAcentral describes it as "bacterial SSU rRNA". It matches the Rfam family "Bacterial small subunit ribosomal RNA", at positions 8 to 798 of the family's 1533-position model. The record is from RNAcentral.